GUUUUGUUACCACUUGUGCAAUAUCUGCUCUCGAAAGAAGUGCUGUCACAGAAAAUUAGUGGGAUGGUUUUAAUGCAAGGUUUUAUUAAAUCAAGCAUAUGCAGGACCAGACUGGGAAAACGUGUCUCUGCCAACUUUCACAGAUUUCUAGAUUCAUCAAAUUUAUGACCGAGGAGGGACAUUAAAUCAUCCCGUCUCAUCUCCUCAGUACAGCCCUUCAUUUCCAUCCUUUUACCUGUGUGCUGCAUCUUGCCAUGUGAAUUCGGUGGGAGCACGUCUUCCAGGGAAGCAUCCCAUCUUGAAGAAAUCAGGCGGCGGAGAAUCCGCUGCUUCCCUCAGCAGUUCGUCCGGGUAAUCGCCCUCACUGUUUAUUUCCACUUGUAAUUUGUCUGACUCUCAGCUAUUAAUUCUUGUUCUGCCUUUCACCACCAGGUUAAAGAGCCCUUCAGGACCCAGAUUUUCCUCCUUGUGAAGAGGCUUAGGCAACGUAAUCAGAACGGCUUGCGGUCUUCUUUUUUGAUAAGCUAAGCGAAAAUUAGUGAGCUGAUGAAGCCUCUUGCUGCAAGGUAUUUGGCUUCAGCCUCUGAAUCACUUCUCUGUGUGCUUUCCUCACAAUCUUUUAUUUAUGCAUCAUCCUUUUAGAAACAUGGGACACAAAAACUGCCCAAAUUUCCCUUAUCUGCCCCAUCCAUGCAGACCUCUCCACGGAGAACUCAUUUCAUGCAUGGGUCACUCUGGGUUUCCUUUUUUGCCCCAUUUCCCUCUCAACUUCAUGGUCGGGCUCACCAUUGGGUAACUCUGUCCCUUUGUCCUCAGAUCCCUGCUGGAUCACCCAUUUUGGGGACAAAAAAUGGAUUUUUUUGGUGCUGCAGAGCUUCCCCACUGGCUGGUGCAAACCAUCUCAGCUGCUGGGAGCUGCCUGGAGGCGAGAGGGGUGAUGAUGCACUGGGGACAUGUCCUGUGCCUCUGCAUGGACAUGUAGAGGGUCUCCUUUGGCUGCUUUGAUGGAGCAGAGCACGUUAUGCCUCUGGAGAAGGGAUUUGGCUGUCUGCAGCCUCUCCACCUGCUUUGCCUUGCACAGCCACCCCACUCCAAAACCUUUGUGCAGUGAGGAUUGCUUGAGGUUUACAACCAGUUGACCUCCACACAGGAAGGGCUGAGGAUGGCAGGGUGUGAGGUUCUCCCUGUACAUCCCUAAACUUUCUCUGCCAGAGUUAAAGUUCUUUUUUUUUUUUUCCCCACUUUUUUAUUUAUUUUAUUUUUUUUUCAAAUUUCUGCUGCAUUCAGCAGCAGACAGCACGUGCUGGUAUGCACUAAGGUAGAGAAUAAAAGAGAAUUUCAAGAAUAAAACA
Molecule: long non-coding RNA, 1352 nt
Filed under: Anas platyrhynchos platyrhynchos (common mallard)
Lineage: Eukaryota; Metazoa; Chordata; Aves; Anseriformes; Anatidae
Description: lncRNA (ENSAPLG00000026966.1)
Source: RNAcentral